Molecule: ribosomal RNA, 429 nt
Filed under: Pseudomonadota bacterium
Lineage: Bacteria; Pseudomonadati; Pseudomonadota
Description: Proteobacteria bacterium partial 16S ribosomal RNA
Rfam family: Bacterial small subunit ribosomal RNA
Source: RNAcentral
UGGGGAAUAUUGGACAAUGGGCGAAAGCCUGAUCCAGCCAUGCCGCGUGUGUGAAGAAGGUCUUCGGAUUGUAAAGCACUUUAAGUUGGGAGGAAGGGCAGUAAGCGAAUACCUUGCUGUUUUGACGUUACCGACAGAAUAAGCACCGGCUAACUCUGUGCCAGCAGCCGCGGUAAUACAGAGGGUGCGAGCGUUAAUCGGAUCUACUGGGCGUAAAGCGUGCGUAGGCGGCUAAUUGAGUCGGAUGUGAAAUCCCCGAGCUUAACUUGGGAAUUGCAUUAGAUACUGGUUAGCUAGAGUGUGGGAGAGGAUGGUAGAAUUCCAGGUGUAGCGGUGAAAUGCGUAGAGAUCUGGAGGAAUACCGAUGGCGAAGGCAGCCAUCUGGCCUAACACUGACGCUGAGGUACGAAAGCAUGGGGAGCAAACAGG